GACGAACGCUGGCGGCGUGCUUAACACAUGCAAGUCGAACGGAAAGGCCCUGCUUUUGUGGGGUGCUCGAGUGGCGAACGGGUGAGUAACACGUGAGUAACCUGCCCUUUACUUUGGGAUAACUUCAGGAAACUGGUGCUAAUACCUGAUAGGAGCUCCUGCUGCAUGGUGGGGGUUGGAAAGUUUCGGCGGUUGUGGAUGUACUCGCGGCUUAUCAGCUUGUUGGUGGGGUAGUGGCUUACCAAGGCUUUGACGGGUAGCCGGCCUGAGAGGGUGACCGGCGACAAUGGGACUGAGAGACGGCCCAGACUCGUACGGGAGGCAGCAGUGGAGAAUAUUGCACAAUGGGCGGAAGCCUGAGGCAGAGACGCCGCGUGCGGGAUGAAGGCCUUCGGGUUGGAAACCGCUUUAGCCUGUGACGAAGCGGGAGUGACGGUAAUGGGUAAAGAAGCACCGGCUAACUACGUG
Molecule: ribosomal RNA, 468 nt
Filed under: uncultured bacterium
Lineage: Bacteria
Description: partial 16S ribosomal RNA
Rfam family: Bacterial small subunit ribosomal RNA
Source: RNAcentral